GUUUCUCAUCCUUCUCUUUCCUCUCCCCAUCUGAAAGAGAAAAGAGAGGGGACCCUAGAAAUCUCAGAAGAUUCCAGUCCUGCUUAGGAUGAUGAGCCAACAAGCCAUAUGACAGCUAUUGUCAUGUGACUCAUCUCAGCCUCAGGUUUCUGUCCCACUGUGCCACCUGUGAGUCAUUCCUGCGAAGCCUCCAGCUCUCCAUGGAGAAGGCUUUGGGCUGCCAGCAACUCCCUCACUGAGUCAUCUCGCACUGCAAGAUGGAACGGUUCCCAGGGCGCUGGCACUUCCAUUGGCAGCAGCAGAAGAACCAAAAUAGGACACACCAAAUGGAUCUAAUUUUGCCUGAACCUCGGUCUGCAAGGUUUGGGGGUACACCCUGGGGGAGGAUCAGAGCUGGGUCCAGAGGGGCCUUUGCUCUCCCUCCUUGCUCCUUCUACCUUCACCCCAUUUGACGAGCUGUGCCAUGUCAGGGCUUGGCUCCAUAGUGCUGGUUUUAAAAAGGCGCCUCACUCAUAGCUAUUCAGAUUUCAGAAAUAAAUGCUCUACACCACUGAUCAAAACGCCUGGAGUCAACAGAGCCGGUGACAUCUUAAGAAAUGCACCCGGAUCAUGAUUUGCCAUCUGGGCACAAGCUUAGGGAAGCUCUGGGAACAGCUCUACUCCCAGAAAGCUGGGUGAAAAUCAACUAGACCCAGCAGGGAAGUCUCCGCGUUGAUCAGUGGGGCCUUGCUGGGCUGCCCUCCCAGUCCCCACAGGUGUUCCAAGGAGGGGCCUGAACACCAGGCUCUGGAAAACCUGAGGAUGAUGUUGCUGGAGUUGGUGCCGGGGCUCGCUCUAGGACAGGCGUGGGCUCCUCCUCUCCACUGGUGUGCCUUUGGGAAGGGUAUCCUCCACCCACUGUGCACCCACCCGACCUGUGGCUUGGAGCAGGCCCUCCCUGGCCAGCAGCUCUGCUUCUGCUGAGUGAAGAGGAAGGAGCACUUGGCUCUCCCUCCAGGAGGUGCAUGAAGAUU
This 1013-nucleotide long non-coding RNA is filed under the name Homo sapiens (human). RNAcentral's name for it is "HSALNT0391618". The record is from RNAcentral. Lineage: Eukaryota; Metazoa; Chordata; Mammalia; Primates; Hominidae.